Non-coding RNA from Oryza glumipatula, 208 nucleotides. The record is from Rfam. NCBI's taxonomy places the organism in Eukaryota, Viridiplantae, Streptophyta, Magnoliopsida, Poales, Poaceae.
AAUAAGUGUAGUUUUGCACUAUUCAUGUUCAACGUUUGACCGUUCGUCUUAUUUAAAAUUUUUUUAUGAUUAGUAUUUUUAUUGCUAUUAGAUGAUAAAACAUGAAUAGUACUUUAUGUGUGACUAAAUAUUUUUAAAUUUUUCACAAAUUUUUCAAAUAAAACGGACGGUCAAACGUUGGGCACGGAUAUCCAUAGCUGCACUUAUU